GAUGAACGCUGGCGGCGUGCCUAAUACAUGCAAGUCGAGCGAACGGACGAGAAGCUUGCUUCUCUGAUGUUAGCGGCGGACGGGUGAGUAACACGUGGAUAACCUACCUAUAAGACUGGGAUAACUUCGGGAAACCGGAGCUAAUACCGGAUGAUAUUUUGAACCGCAUGGUUCAAAAGUGAAAGACGGUCUUGCUGUCACUUAUAGAUGGAUCCGCGCUGCAUUAGCUAGUUGGUAAGGUAAUGGCUUACCAAGGCAACGAUGCAUAGCCGACCUGGGAGGCGGGUAGGCCACACUGGAACGGGACCACGGUCCAGAGUCCUAAGGGAGGCCGCAGUAGGGAAUCUUCCGCAAUGGGGGAAAGCCUGACGGAGCAAGCCCGAGUGAGUGAUGGAGGCCUUGGGAUCGGAAAACCCUGUUAUUGGGGAAGAACAUAUGUGUACGUAACUGUGCACAGCUUGACGGUACCUAAUAAGAAAGCCACGGCUAACUACGUG
RNAcentral lists this ribosomal RNA (497 nucleotides) under uncultured bacterium. Its description in RNAcentral is "partial 16S ribosomal RNA". It matches the Rfam family "Bacterial small subunit ribosomal RNA", at positions 28 to 507 of the family's 1533-position model. The record is from RNAcentral.